UNUGACUUGAGUGCAGAAGGGGAGAGUGGAAUUCCAUGNGUAGCGGUGAAAUGCGUAGAUAUAUGGAGGAACACCAGUGGCGAAAGCGGCUCUCUGGUCUGUCACUGACGCUGAGGCUCGAAAGCGUGGGUAGCGAACAGGAUUAGAUACCCUGGUAGUCCACGCCGUAAACGAUGAGUGCUAGGUGUUAGGCCCUUUCCGGGGCUUAGUGCCGGAGCUAACGCAAUAAGCACUCCGCCUGGGGAGUACGACCGCAAGGUUGAAACUCAAAGGAAUUGACGGGGGCCCGCACAAGCGGUGGAGCAUGUGGUUUAAUUCGAAGCAACGCGAAGAACCUUACCAGGUCUUGACAUCCCGAUGCUAUUCUUAGAGAUAGGAAGUUACUUCGGUACAUCGGAGACAGGUGGUGCAUGGUUGUCGUCAGCUCGUGUCGUGAGAUGUUGGGUUNNNNNNNNCAACGAGCGCAACCCUUAUUGUUAGUUGCCAUCAUUAAGUUGGGCACUCUAGCGAGACUGCCGGUAAUAAACCGGAGGAAGGUGGGGAUGACGUCAAAUCAUCAUGCCCCUUAUGACCUGGGCUACACACGUGCUACAAUGGUCGGUACAACGAGUUGCGAGCCGGUGACGGCAAGCUAAUCUCUGAAAGCCGAUCUCAGUUCGGAUUGGAGGCUGCAACUCGCUUCCAUGAAGUCGGAAUCGCUAGUAAUCGCGGAUCAGCACGCCGCGGUGAAUACGUUCCCGGGCCU
This 745-nucleotide ribosomal RNA is filed under the name uncultured bacterium. Its description in RNAcentral is "bacterial SSU rRNA". It matches the Rfam family "Bacterial small subunit ribosomal RNA", at positions 636 to 1381 of the family's 1533-position model. The record is from RNAcentral.